Molecule: small nuclear RNA, 119 nt
Gene: U4
Rfam family: U4 spliceosomal RNA
About the family: U4 small nuclear RNA (U4 snRNA) is a component of the major U2-dependent spliceosome. The structure of U4 snRNA from yeast and human has been reported.
Source: Ensembl
AGCUUUGCGCAGUGGCGGUAUCGUAGCCAAUGAGGUUUAUCCGAGGCGCGAUUAUUACUGAUUAAAAAUUCACAUGUGAAAACCACACCUAUAAAACUGUGACCAAACUUGUUCUCAAG